UUUUUGAAUAUAAUUUAAAGUAGGGCCUGCCCACUGAGUAAUUGAAGGGCCGCAGUAUUUUGACUGUGCAAAGGUAGCAUAAUCAUUAGUUUUUUAAUUGAAAGCUUGUAUGAAUGGUUUGAUGAGAAAAUUUCUUUCUAUAUUUAAAUUUUUGAAAAUUUUAUUUUUAAGUUAAAAAGCUUAAAUAUUUUUAAUAGACGAGAAGACCCUAUAGAGUUUGAUUAUUAAUAAUUAUUUUAUAUUUGUAGAAUUUUGAUUUUUUAUAAUAUUAAUAAUUUGAUUGGGGUGAUUGAAAAAUUUGAAAAACUUUUUCUUUUUUAUUACAUAUAUUAAUGAAUUUUUGAUCCAAUAUUUUUGAUUAAAAGAUUAAAUUACCUUAGGGAUAACAGCGUUAUUUUUUUUUAGAGUUCAAAUCGAAAAAAGAGAUUGCGACCUCGAUGUUGGAUUAAAGUUAAUUUUUGGUGUAGAAGCUAAAAUAUUUGGUCUGUUCGACCAUUAAAACUUUACA
This 508-nucleotide ribosomal RNA is filed under the name Olla v-nigrum. Its description in RNAcentral is "partial large subunit ribosomal RNA". The stretch from base 382 to 508 matches the Rfam family "Bacterial large subunit ribosomal RNA", at positions 2473 to 2600 of the family's 2925-position model. Lineage: Eukaryota; Metazoa; Arthropoda; Insecta; Coleoptera; Coccinellidae. The record is from RNAcentral.